Symphalangus syndactylus (siamang) is the source of this 913-nucleotide long non-coding RNA. RefSeq lists it as uncharacterized. NCBI's taxonomy places the organism in Eukaryota, Metazoa, Chordata, Mammalia, Primates, Hylobatidae. The record is from RefSeq and is a predicted model, not a curated record.
GAGGCCCAAACUGAAAUCUGAGGAGCCUCAACAUUCAGAACUCAACUGGGUGCUGUGGUUCAAGCCUGUAAUCCCAGCACUUUGGGAGGACAAGGCAGGCAGAACACCUGAGGUUAGAAGUUUGAGACCAGCCUGGCCAACAUGGCCAAACCUCGUCUGUACUGAAAAUAUAAAAAUUAGCCGGGCAUGGUGGCAAGCGCCUGUAAUCCUAGCUACUCCGGAGGCUGAGGCAGAAGAAUCUCUUGAACUUGGAAGGCGGAGGUUGCAGUGAUCACACCACUGCCCUCCAGCCUGGGUGACAGAACAAGACUCUGUGUCAGAAAAAGAAAGAAAGAAAGAAAGAAAAAGCCAAAGAAAAGAACUCGAUGGAGCACAAGUAGCUGAGUAAUGCCCCAGGAAGCCGGCAUCAUUGUUGGACAGCUCAGAUGUUCAGGAUGUUUCAUUUUGAGCCUACCUCAUUGGAAUUUCAAAAUAUUGGCCUCUUUGGAGCAAUACAGAGCAAGUCUGUUCCUUCAAGCAGAUGAAAAGCUCCCUGCAUGUCUUCCACUGGACUUCUCCCCUUUAGCUUAAAACUAUCCACAGUCCUGAAACAUGGCUCAGAAGCAGAUAUUACGCAAACCCUACUCUUACAGCUCGGCCAGCCAGCCACAUGCAGGACCCCGAAGCAAAUGAGAGGCAGUGACCUGAGAAGCUACAUAUUGACAUGGUGCUACCACAGGUGGAGGAGCCUGCAUUGCUGAAUCACAGGAUGAAGGCGAAUCCCUGCCAGCCUCCAUCCGUCUCUGGGGUGCUUAGCAGAAUCCUCAGCUCACAGGAUGAAUAAAUGGAGACUAAAUGACGCACAAACAAUCACACACAACCAUCAACACGCGGAAAGACAGCAGGAUGGCCAGACCCCAAGGUAACAAACAGG